UUAAAUAUUUUUUUUGGUUUAAAAAAAACUCACUUAUGUUUUUCGCGGGGAUGGGGCUCCGCCCACCGCGGGGGCCGCCCCUACUAGCUCCGACACUUGCGAUGAGUUGUCUCGGUUUCUUUUGUUGGUCCCGGGCUCACAUCUUGUUCUCUUGAAAAAAAUUAAAGGGCUCAAAGCAGGCAUUUUGACUUGAAAUGUUAGCAUGGAAUAAUAGGAUAGGACUUCGUUUCUAUUUGGUGGGUGUUCGAAAAUCGAAUUAAUGAUUGAUAGGGACAGUAGGGGGCAUCCGUAUUCUAACGACAGAGGUGAAAUUCUUGCACCUUGGGAAGACUAACAACUGCAAAGGCGUUGGCCUUUAACGUUUUCUUUAAUCAAGAACGAAAGUAGGGGGAUCGAACACAAUCAGAUACAGUCUUAACCUUAACCAUUUUUAUGUCAGCUAGGGAUCCGCGGUAUAUCGCGACUUCGGCAUCGUUUCCUAACUAAAAAUUUUAGGGUUCUUGUUGGCGUGGGACGGAUGGCUGCGAUGAAAAUUAAAGGAAGUAACGAAAGAAGACCAUCAUCAGGGUAGCCUGUGGCUUAUUUUUGAUCACUUAAGAAAUAAAUACGAGGCAGGGACAUAGAGGGGGAGAGACAUAUUGAUUGCUCUUCUCUGAUCCCUAUUCGAGGGGGUGCAUCGCCGUUCUUAGUUGGUGGAGUGAUUUGUCUGGUUAAAUCCCUUAAACACCAGACACCCUACUGCUCUGAAAAACGCGUGCUGUAUCCGAUGUCGCGCGACUUCUUGAAGUAUCAUUGUGUAGUCUCCUGUACGGAGGAUGUCUAU
This 823-nucleotide ribosomal RNA is filed under the name uncultured eukaryote. RNAcentral describes it as "partial 18S ribosomal RNA". It matches the Rfam family "Eukaryotic small subunit ribosomal RNA", at positions 683 to 1423 of the family's 1831-position model. The record is from RNAcentral.